AGCAGCCGCGGUAAUUCCAGCUCCAAUAGCGUAUAUUAAAGUUGUUGCAGUUAAAAAGCUCGUAGUUGAAUUUCAGGCCUGGCUGGACGGUCCGCCCUUCGGGUGAGUACUGUCUGUGGUCGGGUCCUACCUUCUGGCGAAGCGUCAUGGCCUUAACCGGCCGUGGCGGGGAACCAGGACUUUUACUGUGAAAAAAUUAGAGUGUUCAAAGCAGGCAAUCGCUUGGAUACAUUAGCAUGGAAUAAUGGAAUAGGACAAUGGUUCUAUUUGUUGGUUUCUAGGACCGUUGUAAUGAUUAAUAGGGAUAGUUGGGGGCAUUAGUAUUCAAUUGUCAGAGGUGAAAUUCUUGGAUUUAUUGAAGACUAACUACUGCGAAAGCAUUUGCCAAGGAUGUUUUCAUUAAUCAAGAACGAAAGUUAGGGGAUCGAAGACGAUCAGAUACCGUCGUAGUCUUAACCAUAAACUAUGCCGACUAGGAAUCGGGCGAUGUUGACAAAAUGACGCGCUCGGCACCUCAUAA
RNAcentral lists this ribosomal RNA (520 nucleotides) under uncultured Paraglomus. Its description in RNAcentral is "SSU rRNA". It matches the Rfam family "Eukaryotic small subunit ribosomal RNA", at positions 569 to 1093 of the family's 1831-position model. Lineage: Eukaryota; Fungi; Glomeromycota; Glomeromycetes; Paraglomerales; Paraglomeraceae. The record is from RNAcentral.